CCCGUCACACCAUGGGAGUGAGUUGCAAAAGAAGUAGGUAGCUUAACCUUCGGGAGGGCGCUUACCACUUUGUGAUUCAUGACUGGGGUGAAGUCGUAACAAGGUAACCGUAGGGGAACCUGCGGUUGGAUCACCUCCUUACCUUAAAGAA
RNAcentral lists this ribosomal RNA (151 nucleotides) under Escherichia coli. RNAcentral's name for it is "partial 16S ribosomal RNA". It matches the Rfam family "Bacterial small subunit ribosomal RNA", at positions 1393 to 1533 of the family's 1533-position model. Lineage: Bacteria; Pseudomonadati; Pseudomonadota; Gammaproteobacteria; Enterobacterales; Enterobacteriaceae. The record is from RNAcentral.